UUGAUGAGGUUUUAGAACUUGUGAGAGCAUUACAGCCAGUUUCCUUACUCCAACUGCCAUUUCAAGACAGAUUUAGAGGAUUGAUUUUAUACAAUUUGUUUUCGUCAUAACAAUUGUGAGUUUUCAUUUCGUGAGCUUGCUUAUAGUUUCAGAGAGCCCAUAAAGUGAUAUCAUUAAGAAUGGUUAACAGCCUCAUAUUAGGUAAUUUUGUUGCUUCUUCAGUGUAAGAAGUUAGAACUUAAAUCUUUCUAUGUAUAUGGAAAUGUUUACUACAAACCUUUGCUCUCAAAAUGAGCUUUAAUAUUUGGGGAGUAGCUGUUACCCUACUCCAGAAAAGAAUAUUUGAAGCUAAUUUUAAGCUUCUAAAGAUAUGUUAAUUGGCUAAGUACCUCACCUUACCAGAGGACUUAGGUCUUUGUUAUGCACAUUGUAGAUAAAGCUUCAGCUGUGUUAGUACAGAGUUGUGGACUAGAGUCAUGGAAGUAUUUUAAAUAGAAACCUGGUAAAACAUAUCUUAUUCCAAACAACAAUUAAUUGGUUACUACUAAAUACUGAUAUUUGGCCUAUCACAUAUACAAAUUUUUCAGACAAAAUUGAUAAUUUUAUUCUUUACAUGUUUUUGUAUUUCCUGUAUAUUUGUACGUACAACCCAUAGGAAAUGCGCUUACUGUAUUUAUAGGUGGUUCAUCUAAUGAAAAGGCUACAUGUAUGAUUGGAUCACUUGUUUAUUCUCUUGAGUUUCUGUUGCUUCAGCACAGAUUAUUAGAUUACGUCCUGUAGCCACUGUUUUUAAAUCAAGCUUUCUAUUCAUAUACUGAUAGCCAAUGUGUGGCUUGUGGUUUACAAUUGAUUUCAAUUACUUAAUGCUUUAUUAGAGACAGGUUUUCUACUUGAAAUCAGUGAGUGACGAUUUCAAUGUGAAUUGUCUGACAACUCAUUGUCCUUUCAGUGCUCUGGCUCAGACAACUAAACAAAACCAUAGACCCUGCUCUUUAAAAAUGGUAAUAGAGUUGAUAACACACCCUCACGAAAAGAGGAAGACUCCAUUUGUUUACUUUCAACUCCCAGCCUCACCUUGCCAGCUCCGAGAUUUCUAGUAAGACUAAAUCUGGACAAUAUUUACAAGAUUUGACAUUUCUAAUUAAUGCUUAUGUUUAGGUAAAUAAAGUUUGUGAGGUGCUAGAAAAAUGGCUUAGUGGUUAAGAGCACUAUAUACUGUUCCUUUAUAGAACAUUUAAAAACUCAAACUGGAUUUUCUGGGCUCCUUAACAAGGGAGGACAAGAUUCCAGACAGAUUAUAGGCCUUACAUAGGAACAAUUAGUCAAAAAAUCUCAUUCUUUAUAUAUUCAAUACAAUUAUGCUAGAGACAAUAAUUUGGUAUACAAGUCAAUUUAUAAAUACAAGUGCUCAGUGUCCUCAACUUAAUCCUCGAGGACUUACCUUAAUAAAUAAUAUCUUUACUAUAUCUUUAUAAAUAAAAAGAGAGAGUUAUCCCUGUAUGCUAAAUAAUGCUCCUUUUAUUUCAAUUUUAAAAUAUUUCAAUUUUAAAAAUUUGGAUGCCAAAGUUUAUGGCACCCUACAACUAGGCAUACUUCUGCCUAGGUGAAAUAGAGAGAUCCACUUAUUGACAUGUUCCUGUCCAGAUAUUUUAUAUGGGGAAGAGGGAAUGUUUGUGUUUUUUCUACAGGAUGCUACAGGAGUGUGCCAGCUGCCUGAGUGUCUGGUGAGACAUGCUGAUCCUGGGAGCAUGAAGAUUCAGCUCUCGUGGUUCGGGUCCCUGGAGUCAUUCCUCUGCCCUGAGAGGAAGAUAGAAGAUUUCCCUUCAUCCUUUGUCAUCACAGAGACUUUGCCGUUGCUGCAGUCAGUGUUACCGCCACGUGUUCCCGUCCCAUUGUGGCCUACGCUCAGACUCUGUACACUGCUGCUUCCUGGAGAAGACUGGACUCCAGCUGUUACCCCUGUCCUUUCAUUUCCCUGGUGACUCUUGCUGCCUUAACUGGUAACUGGUGUUGUCAUUUUACAGACUGUAGCUUCACAGAAAGCUACCUGCGUAAAGCUACAAUGACUGGAGAACUCUGUCCUGGUCAUACAGAUCUCAGAAAUGGUUCCAUUGUCUGCUGGUUGUUCCAGAGAAAAAUGACUGAUCCUGAACUGUCCUGGAAAAGACCUUGACACUUUCGCUGCUAUUGUAGCAGCCAUUACUGCCGCAGACAUUGUGUCUGCAGUGUCUGGAGUUAUCCUCCCCCAAUCUAUUGUUAGACAAGUACAGUGGGUGAACUUUCUAGAGUAGUUACUAACAAUUGGAAAUUCUAAAUUUCAUUAUAGGAGUGGCUUGACCACGGCCCUUGGUGGCAACAGCUGAGGAGGACCAUAUGAGGUGCCCACUACUUAUCGGGAGUGGCUCUGUCUGAUGCAGCCCUAUGCUGUGGAUCAGUGUUCAUACUAUGGUUGGUUUACAAACUCAGAUCUCAACAGUAACAUGACAAGGCCGUUAUCACUCAAGCACUUGUAGCCAUUUGAACAAAGGGCCUCACCUGGAAUUUGGUUAUCUUGUUCAGGAUUUACUCUGUAUUUGAGUUCCCUGCUCCUGCACCCCAUGGACCUGUGGGUCCAUUACACUGGGAGGAGAGGGAUACUCUCUGUAUCUGAGUUCUCUGCUCCUGCACCCCAUGGAUCUGUGGAUCCAUUGCACUGGGAUUGAGAGAGACUCAGUGAUUUCCUUUGAUCAGCCCUUGCACAUCGCUGAGGUUUCCUCAUUGCACGCGAUAGGGUGAUCAUUUCUGCUAUAAAAUUAUAAUUAUAAGGGUGAGAUGUAGAGGGCCGCAAUAACAUGCGCGACCAUUAGAUGGCGCUGGCUUCCACUGCGCCCCACGUGGAAGGCCAAGUCAGUCAAGAUGGCGCCAGCCUUCCCUGCACACAUAUCUGCAUCUGACUCUUUCAGCUGCUUGUUGGUCUUUUCGAGGCCAGUCAUGAUAGGUCCCUUUUUGUGA
This 2991-nucleotide long non-coding RNA is filed under the name Rattus norvegicus (Norway rat). Its description in RNAcentral is "long non-coding RNA NONRATT025137". The record is from RNAcentral. Lineage: Eukaryota; Metazoa; Chordata; Mammalia; Rodentia; Muridae.